Molecule: unclassified non-coding RNA, 337 nt
Filed under: soil metagenome
Description: partial contains 5.8S ribosomal RNA, internal transcribed spacer 2, and large subunit ribosomal RNA
Rfam family: 5.8S ribosomal RNA (bases 1-120)
Source: RNAcentral
GAUGAAGAACGUAGCGAAAUGCGAUAAGUAAUGUGAAUUGCAGAAUUCAGUGAAUCAUCGAAUCUUUGAACGCACAUUGCGCCCGGUAGUAUUCUGCCGGGCAUGCCUGUUCGAGCGUCAUUUCAACCAUCAAGCCCCAGCGCUUGUGUUGGGGGCCUGCGGCUGCCGCAGCCCCCUAAAAGCAGUGGCGGGCUCGCUAUCACACCGAGUGCAGUAGUUCAUCUUCUCUCCGGUCUUGUGAGGCGGGUUCCGGCCGUGAAACACCCCACUACAUUCAAGGUUGACCUCGGAUCAGGUAGGAAUACCCGCUGAACUUAAGCAUACAAUAAGCGGAGGA